Xiphophorus hellerii (green swordtail) is the source of this 2462-nucleotide long non-coding RNA. RefSeq lists it as uncharacterized. NCBI's taxonomy places the organism in Eukaryota, Metazoa, Chordata, Actinopteri, Cyprinodontiformes, Poeciliidae. The transcript has 2 exons. The record is from RefSeq and is a predicted model, not a curated record.
AUUGUUCAUUCUAUGACGUAUCCAGCAGCUUGCAGCAUGCUGCUUGAGCAGCUGUAACUGUGGUAAAUUAAUUUUGUAGAUGUUUUGAAGCAACAUAUAACAAAUAAAACAAAAACUAAUCUGCUCUUAAUUAGAACAACAAACUUUCCCAACAGAACAGGAAUAUGAAGUCAUUUAACUGUAUCACAAAAUGUCUUUAUUUUAAAGAUAGUUGGUUUCUUCUCUCUUUAUUAUCUAAUUCCUCAUGCUUCCUAUAAACUGGGCAAUAGCCAAAUAAAUCAAUAUAAUUUAAAUUCAGUUCAUGUCAUCAAAAAAAUUUAAUAUUGUGUUAAAGUUUAAUAUUUCUUGUUAGUCGUCACAGAAAUUGAAACAGUUAUUUAACAGAAGGGUUACACACAAUAAAAUAUUUGAAGCUUCUAUUUUUUGCUGUUUUAAUGAUUAUGGCUUACAUGUAAAAUAAACUCCUCAAAAUUCAGUGUCUCAGAAAAUUAGAAUAUAACAUUAAAUUAGACCAACCAAAGUGGAUGUUUAAAGCAUAAAUGUCAGGCUUCUGAAAAGUAUGUCCAUCUCUAUUCAUCAAUACUUGAGUAGGCUUCUCUCAUGAAUUACUGCAUCAAUAUGCUGUGAUAAUCAAAUUCAAAAAUACUUUAUUGAUCCAAAAGGGAAAUUAAAUAUUGCUGUAAAUCAUGUUAAUUCAAAUUCAUCAAAGAGUUAUUGUGGAUGGUGAUGGCUGGGAACAAGAAGGGUCUCCUGUAGCAGUUUGUAUUGCAUCAAAUUUGAAGAAGCCUCUGACUGAAGACACUCCGUUAAUCUAAGACAGUCUCAUGAAGAGGAUGAUCAGUGUUGUCCAUAAUUUUCUUGAUUUUAUGGAAAAUCCUUCUUUGCAUUGUCAUCUCCAGAGGUUCCACAGUGGUCCCCAGAACAGAACCAGCCUUCUGUAUCAGGUUGUUAAGCCUUUUUAGGUCCCUGGUUCUGAUGCUGCUGCCCCAACAAAUGACGGCAGAAGAGAAGAUGCUCUCAACAACAGACUGAUAGAAGAUCUGCAACAUCUUGCUGCAAACCUUGAAGGAUCUUAUCUUCUUCAACAUGUCCAGUCUGCUCUGACCCUUCUUAUAGAUACUUCACUCCAGUCCAGUCUGUUGUCCAAAUGAACACCAAGAUGGGAUGAUUGUUUCCACCCCAUGACACAAAGCGGUCGACCAGAUCUCUGUACUCUGCUUCUUAUCCAUCUCUGAUACACCAGACAGCUGCAGAGUCAUCUGAGUAUUUCUGGAGAUGAGAGAAGUCUGAAGUGUACGGAGUUAAAGGAAUGGUAAGAGUACAGCGCCCUUUGGUGCUCCUGUGCUACUGAUCACCUGGCUAGACACACAGUCCUUCAGUCUCACUAACUGUGGUCUGUUUGUCAGGUAGUCAUAGAUCUAGUCAUAGAUCUUUUGGUGACUGCUCUGCUGUCUUUUGAACUGACAAAACAGUUCAGACUGAAUUAUGUUAAAUACACUGGAGAAAUCAAAGAAGAUGAUCCUCAUAGUGCUGCCUGCUUUGUCCAGAUGACAGUGGAUUUAUGAAGCUUCAUGAAACUCUGACGCAGCGUUUCAUGAAGCAGUGCUUGGCCCACUCUGGAAGGCCAACAGGAGUCUUUCCAGGACCUUCAUGAUGUGGAAUGACAAAGACGCAGUCAGCCUGUAACAAUGCUUAGGUGUAAUGAAAGCCUAUAUUGCUUUGAUAACUGCCUUUAGGUCAUCUUCCUUGUUGGGUCUUGUCCACAUUCCAGAGGUUUUCUGUGGAGUUAAAGGUCAAGAAGGAACUUUUGGUACAUUGACAUCAGCAUCUCCAUACAGCUUGUCAGCUGAGGGUAACACAAUGAGAAGAUAAUUGAGCAUCAGCCCAGUUCCUCUGACCUUGUCUCUGGUUUAGGAGUGGCUAUUCGUCUGUGUGUGGCUCUACUGGAAUGGAUUUCACUUGACAAUCUUCCCACAGCUGCAGUUUUCCCUGUUGCUGCUGCAUCUUUUUCUACCACGCUGCUUCCUUCCACUCAAUUUCUCAAUUUUCUGAUAAUCUGCUUGGAUAUACAGUACAGACCAAAAGUUUGGACACACCUUCUCAUUGAAUUCAAUAAGAAAGUGUGUCCAAACCUGUACUGUCUGUACAGUCUGUACAGACAGUACAGACUGUCUGUACAGACUCAGAACAAUCACAUUCUUCAUUGCGCCUCACCACCUUGUGAAGGUGUCCAUGAUUGUCUGCUGUCCAGCAGUGUUCCCCACGGUUGUAGCUGACUGAGCCAGAGAGAGAAACCAAUUAAAGGGUCAGAAAUGCUUGUAGGUACUUAGCUGACUAGGUUGUGACACAAUGAGUUUCCAAUAUUUCACUAGUCACAUUUUUAAGAGAUACUGAAUUUGUUUUUGUUAUCUGUAAGCCAUAAUUACCAAUAUUUCAAUAAAUAAAGGCUUGAAAUAUGUCAA